ACCGGUCUGCUGUUGAGUAUCCUAUCGGGCUUUUCGCAGUCGACCAAUUGACAAUAGUAGGAGUGCUAUAGUGGCCCGUAUCGCUGGCAUUAACAUUCCUGAG
Molecule: regulatory RNA element, 103 nt
Organism: Ferrimonas balearica DSM 9799
Lineage: Bacteria; Pseudomonadati; Pseudomonadota; Gammaproteobacteria; Alteromonadales; Ferrimonadaceae
Rfam family: Alpha operon ribosome binding site
About the family: The bacterial alpha operon ribosome binding site is surrounded by this complex pseudoknotted structure.
Source: Rfam